UCGCUGAAGCCACCGCGACAGGGGAAGUGGUCAGGGGACAGAUAUUCGACGUUGGCCCCCGCUACACUGGACUGGCAUACAUCGGAGAAGGCGCAUAUGGCAUGGUUUGCUCGGCCUACGAUACUAAGGCAAAGCAGAAGGUGGCGAUCAAGAAAAUCUCUCCUUUCGAGCACCAGACCUAUUGCCAGCGCACUCUGAGAGAGAUCAAGAUUCUGACUCGCUUCAAGCACGAGAAUGUUAUCAACAUUCAAGAUAUCAUAAAGGCGCCGACCAUCGACGACAUGAGAGAUGUGUA
Molecule: long non-coding RNA, 295 nt
Organism: Priapulus caudatus
Lineage: Eukaryota; Metazoa; Priapulida; Priapulimorpha; Priapulimorphida; Priapulidae
Exons: 3
Source: RefSeq, a predicted model, not a curated record